CCUACGGGGUGCAGCAGUGAGGAAUAUUGGUCAAUGGGCGGGAGCCUGAACCAGCCAAGUCGCGUGAGGGAAGACGGUCCUAUGGAUUGUAAACCUCUUUAGGCGGGGAGCAAUGCCGGGCACGUGUGCCCGGAGGGAGAGUACCCGCAGAAUAAGCAUCGGCUAACUCCGUGCCAGCAGCCGCGGUAAUACGGAGGAUGCGAGCGUUAUCCGGAUUUAUUGGGUUUAAAGGGUGCGUAGGCGGAUUUUUAAGUCAGCGGUAAAAUGUCCGGGCUCAACCCGGGCCGGCCGUUGAAACUGGGGAGCUUGAGUGGGCGAGAAGUAUGCGGAAUGCGUGGUGUAGCGGUGAAAUGCAUAGAUAGCACGCAGAACUCCGAUUGCGAAGGCAGCAUACCGGCGCCCGACUGACGCUGAGGCACGAAAGCGUGGGGAUCGAACAGGAUUAGAUACCCCAGUAGUC
Molecule: ribosomal RNA, 460 nt
Filed under: uncultured bacterium
Lineage: Bacteria
Description: partial 16S ribosomal RNA
Rfam family: Bacterial small subunit ribosomal RNA
Source: RNAcentral